This 503-nucleotide ribosomal RNA is filed under the name uncultured bacterium. Its description in RNAcentral is "partial 16S ribosomal RNA". It matches the Rfam family "Bacterial small subunit ribosomal RNA", at positions 30 to 523 of the family's 1533-position model. The record is from RNAcentral.
AUUGAACGCUGGCGGCAGGCUUAACACAUGCAAGUCGAGCGGGGUGAUGGUGCUUGCACUAUCACUUAGCGGCGGACGGGUGAGUAAUGCUUAGGAAUCUGCCUAUUAGUUGGGGACAACAUCUCGAAAGGGAUGCUAAUACCGCAUACGUCCUACGGGAGAAAGCAGGGGAUCACUUGUGACCUUGCGCUAAUAGAUGAGACUAAGUCGGAGUAGCUAGUUGGUGGGGUAAAGGCCUACCAAUGCGACGAUCUGUAGCGGGUCUGAGAGGAUGAUCCGCCACACUGGGACUGAUACACGGCCCAGCAUCCUACGGGAGGCAGCAGUGGGGAAUAUUGGGCAAUGGGGGGAACCCUGAUCCAGCCAUGCCGCGUGUGUGAAGAAGGCCUUAUGGUUGUAAAGCACUUUAAGCGAGGAGGAGGCUCGUUUGGUUAAUACCCAAGAUGAGUGGACGUUACUCGCAGAAUAAGCACCGGCUAACUCUGUGCCAGCAGCCGCAGUAA